This 490-nucleotide ribosomal RNA is filed under the name uncultured bacterium. RNAcentral's name for it is "partial 16S ribosomal RNA". It matches the Rfam family "Bacterial small subunit ribosomal RNA", at positions 28 to 507 of the family's 1533-position model. The record is from RNAcentral.
GAUGAACGCUAGCUACAGGCUUAACACAUGCAAGUCGCGGGGCAGCAUGGGGGUUGCUUGCAAUCCCCGAUGGCGACCGGCGCACGGGUGAGUAACGCGUAUCCAACCUGCCCUUCACCACGGGAUAACCCGGCGAAAGUCGGACUAAUACCGUAUGUUGUCCAUUGACGGCAUCCGAUUUGGACGAAAGGUUUGGCGGUGAAGGAUGGGGAUGCGUCCGCUUAGCUGGACGGCGGGGUGACGGCCCACCGUGGCGACGAGCGGUAGGGGUGGUGGGAGGAAGGUCCCCCACACGGGAGCUGGGACACGGACCCGACGCCUACGGGAGGCAGCAGUGAGGAAUAUUGGGCAAUGGGCGUAAGCCUGAGCCAGCCAAGUAGCGUGCAGGAUGACGGCGCUAUGGGUUGUAAACUGCUUUUAUGCGGGGAUAAAGUGGCCCCCGGGUGGGUUUUUGCAGGUACCGCAUGAAUAAGGACCGGCUAAUUCCGUG